CAUGCAAUCGAAAGGAAUGGUGGGCCAGCUCAAGUCUAUUAGGCAGUAGAUACAUAAUUAAUCAGAAGCUCAUACAUGCGUUUACUUGUGCUGGAAUGCUCCCAUCACAAUAUCACCAUUUCUGUAGAUUGGAAUCGCUUGGUAUAGUUGGGAAAAGGUACACUGAUUCAGUAUAUAAGUCAAAGCGGUAUGUACUGCUAUUGAAAGUUGUGCUGAAGCAUCAAUGAUGAAGGCAAUUGAUAAAAUCAAG
This is a long non-coding RNA of Amphimedon queenslandica, 250 nucleotides long. RefSeq lists it as uncharacterized. The transcript is spliced from 3 exons. Lineage: Eukaryota; Metazoa; Porifera; Demospongiae; Haplosclerida; Niphatidae. The record is from RefSeq and is a predicted model, not a curated record.